This 654-nucleotide long non-coding RNA is filed under the name Equus caballus (horse). RNAcentral's name for it is "lncRNA (ENSECAG00000034964.3)". Lineage: Eukaryota; Metazoa; Chordata; Mammalia; Perissodactyla; Equidae. The record is from RNAcentral.
CUCAGGAGCACUCUGAGAGGGAAGUGGGAGGAGAAAGGGAGCACCUGAGGAGGGAACUUGCACCCAGUCUCUGCCAGUCCCAGCAGUGGAGCAGACUUCCCCCUCCUGUGUCCAUCAACUUCUGUGCCUGGUGGUGAGGAGACUUGUGAUUCUAUCCAGGAAGAAUAAAUCAUGUUGGCUUGCAAUGACUCCUCUCUGGACCUUUUGGAAGGCUGCAGAUGCAUCCGAUGGAAGAAGGGGAAGUGUUUUCUUGCUGACCGCCUUGCUCGCUUCCUGUGCCUAGAGCGAUGGAAUGCUUCUGAGCUAUCAGAUGACUUGUGGAGGUCUGGUAUUUUCUAUCUUUGCCUCUACUGCUAUCCGCCACUUCCAGAGAUGUACUAGCUGAGCUUGUAGAUCUGAUUUAUGGAGGGUUUCUAAAGACAACUUUCAGCUGUGUAUUUGUAUGCAGCUCUCUGUAUGGGCUACUCAACAGGCAUUCAGAUUUAGGGGGAGAAGCAUAUGCAUCUCAGAAGGAAGCAGAUGCUGCAUAAUCAACAGUAAUUUAGAAGGAAAAGAGAAGGUGAGAAAAGGACAGACCCCAUAUCCGACAUCAGGAGGUUUUGUGCCACUGCUGUCUCCUUUCUGAGGCUCCUGGGUGAUUUUGUGUCUCAAGCC